This 786-nucleotide non-coding RNA is filed under the name Dalader distanti. The record is from RNAcentral. Lineage: Eukaryota; Metazoa; Arthropoda; Insecta; Hemiptera; Coreidae.
GAGAAGAUUAAUUCUGUCUUUGAGUUUAAUUAGCUAUUUAAGGUAAUAUUAAAUAUAAAUUUUUGUGUGGGUUUUAAUUUGUCUAAAUGGUGGAUUUUAUACAUUUAUUUUUAGUUUUUAGUUUUAAAGUUAUUCAUGUAAUUAUGUAUUUAGUUAAUUGUUUAUAGAAUUGUAAAAUUUUGUGCCAGCAUACGCGGUUAUACAAUUAAUUCAAGUUAAUUUUUUUGGUUAAUAUUAAUUUUUAUUAUUGGAGUUAUAUUUUUUUUUAUAAGGUGAAAUUUUUAAUUUAUUUAUAUACUCUUGGUUUUAUAUUAUAUGAAAUUUAGGAUAUAAACUAGGAUUAGAUACCCUAUUAUUCUAAAUGUAAAUUUUUAACCAUAGUAUUAAUAGUUAUGAUCUUUAAAUUAAAAGAAUUUGGCGGUAAUUUAGUCUAUUCAGAGGAACCUGUUCUUUAAUCGAUGAUCCACGUUGGAUUUAACUUUAAUUUUUGUUUGUAUAUCUCUGUCAUUGAAUGUUUUAUUAGGAUAUUUUCUUUAAUUUAUUAAUUUAAGUGAUGUCAGGUCAAGGUGCAGCUAUAUUAAAGGUUGAAAUGGGUUACAUUUAAUGUAAUUAAUUGGAUUGUUAUUGUUGAAUUAACUUAACAUGAAAUGGGAUUUGAAAGUAAUUUUUAUUAUUUUAUAAAAAUGAUUUUAGCUCUAAAUUAUGUACACAUCGCCCGUCACUCUCAUUUUAAGAUGAGAUAAGUCGUAACAAAGUAAUUUUACUGGAAAGUGAAGUUAGAAUUAU